Molecule: ribosomal RNA, 401 nt
Filed under: uncultured microorganism
Description: bacterial SSU rRNA
Rfam family: Bacterial small subunit ribosomal RNA
Source: RNAcentral
GAGUUUGAUCAUGGCUCAGGACGAACGCUGGCGGUAUGCCUAAUACAUGCAAGUCGAGCGCAGGAAGCAGACUGAAGCCUUCGGGUGGAUGUCUGUGGAAUGAGCGGCGGAUGGGUGAGUAUCACGUGGGUAACCUGCCUGUAAGCUUGGGAUAACUCCGGGAAACCGGUGCUAAUACCAGAUAAGAUUUCCGUUCGCAUGAACGGAAAAUGAAAGGCGGCUUUUGCUGUCACUUACAGAUGGACCCGCGUCGCAUUAGCUAGUUGGUGGGUAAAGGCUCACCAAAGCAACGAUGCGUAGCCGACCUGAGAGGGUGAUCGGCCACACUGGGACUGAGACACGGCCCAGACUCCUACGGGAGCAGCAGGUAGGGAAUCUUCCGCAAUGGACGAAAGUCUGAC